This is a long non-coding RNA of Teleopsis dalmanni, 977 nucleotides long. RefSeq lists it as uncharacterized. Lineage: Eukaryota; Metazoa; Arthropoda; Insecta; Diptera; Diopsidae. The transcript has 3 exons. The record is from RefSeq and is a predicted model, not a curated record.
ACAGCUAUAUAAUUUCUCAGUUGGUAAAAGUUUUUUGCUCAGUGCUGGUUGUAUGUUUAAUAGGUGAGAGGCUAAAUAUGAAUUUGCCUCAUAUGAAACACUUCGCAAUAUGUAAACAUUAACUGUAAUGUAAAAAAAUCAGUGAGCACCAAAAAUUAACGAAAUUUGAAGACUAAAUAAAAAUCGAAAAUAAAGUUAACGUUCAAGCAAGAAAAGUCCCUCCAGCAGCGUUCACACAACAUCUGUAAAGAGAGCGAGUCAAGCAAGCAAGCAAGCAGACAGUAACACGAACUUGUUUGUUGGCCCUUUGUUUUUAAAGUGUAGAGUCACACAAAUGCUAACAACAAAAACAAUAGCAUGGAAUAAUGCAAAAUUGCUAAAAUCCAAAUCCAAAAAUUAUAUUUUUUUUUGAAUUGUUGUAUAUGUUAAUUUGAUUUCUCUUUAAUUCCAAACUUAUGUUUUGUUUUGUUUCGUAUCUUUUUUAUUAUUCAUAAUUCGUGUUUUGUAUUUGUUUAGCAAUUAAUUUUUAAGUUAUUAAAAAAAAAGUAUAUAAGUUAAAGUGUUGUGGCAAUAAAAAAAAUAAUAAAAUACAAAUUAUAACAAAAUAACAAAAAAUACAAAACAGAAAAGUGAAGUGUGGAGCGCCAUAGUCGCUGUUAAAGAAGUAUUUAGUAUAAAAAAAGAGAGAAUAUAGAGUGUGGAACCAAAUAAAUGGAUUCACAUUCCACUUCUACUCUCGCAAAUAAUGUAGUUGUAAAUGAAAGAAGCAUUAAACCUCAUAACAAAAUAAAAACGAACCAACACAACAGCAGCGGCAGCAACAUCAACAACAACAACAACAACACUGUUAACUAAGUGACAGUAGCAAAAUUGAAAAAGACAACAACACUUAAAAGGCAGCAACAGCAUAUAAAGCAGCACCAAAUACAAGUGUUGCAUUAAAAAUGUCAACGUUCUUGAAUAAUUUCUUCCCGGCA